GGAGACCUAUACUAUGAUUGUGUUGUUUAUCCAUGAUUUUACAUUAAAUGGCUUAUGAUAAAUGUGGGUAUGACUGGUUAUUUUUAUAAUUUAAAGAAUAUGUGAACUGCUUUGAUUUGCCUUGAAUGUGUUAAGUGAGUCAUGUCAUACUAUUAUGAUUUUAUUGGUUGGUGGAUUAUAAAGUGGGCACUGCAGUGACGGGGGUUUCGUGGGCCAGCCUAAUUAGAGGGGCACGGUUCUCAAUUAUUGAGCUUACCUCGAUUGGAGAGGCG
This 272-nucleotide long non-coding RNA is filed under the name Theobroma cacao (cacao). Its description in RNAcentral is "long non-coding RNA (TCAC_LNC003975)". Lineage: Eukaryota; Viridiplantae; Streptophyta; Magnoliopsida; Malvales; Malvaceae. The record is from RNAcentral.